This 493-nucleotide ribosomal RNA is filed under the name Escherichia coli. Its description in RNAcentral is "bacterial SSU rRNA". It matches the Rfam family "Bacterial small subunit ribosomal RNA", at positions 8 to 490 of the family's 1533-position model. Lineage: Bacteria; Pseudomonadati; Pseudomonadota; Gammaproteobacteria; Enterobacterales; Enterobacteriaceae. The record is from RNAcentral.
AGAGUUUGAUCAUGGCUCAGAUUGAACGCUGGCGGCAGGCCUAACACAUGCAAGUCGAACGGUAACAGGAAGAAGCUUGCUUCUUUGCUGACGAGUGGCGGACGGGUGAGUAAUGUCUGGGAAACUGCCUGAUGGAGGGGGAUAACUACUGGAAACGGUAGCUAAUACCGCAUAACGUCGCAAGACCAAAGAGGGGGACCUUCGGGCCUCUUGCCAUCAGAUGUGCCCAGAUGGGAUUAGCUAGUAGGUGGGGUAACGGCUCACCUAGGCGACGAUCCCUAGCUGGUCUGAGAGGAUGACCAGCCACACUGGAACUGAGACACGGUCCAGACUCCUACGGGAGGCAGCAGUGGGGAAUAUUGCACAAUGGGCGCAAGCCUGAUGCAGCCAUGCCGCGUGUAUGAAGAAGGCCUUCGGGUUGUAAAGUACUUUCAGCGGGGAGGAAGGGGGUAAAGUUAAUACCUUUGCUCAUUGACGUUACCCGCAGAAGAAG